RNAcentral lists this transfer RNA (75 nucleotides) under Deltaproteobacteria bacterium. RNAcentral describes it as "tRNA-Thr". It matches the Rfam family "tRNA". Rfam says of the family: Transfer RNA (tRNA) molecules are approximately 80 nucleotides in length. Lineage: Bacteria; Pseudomonadati; Myxococcota; Myxococcia. The record is from RNAcentral.
GCCGACGUAACUCAGUGGUAGAGUAGCUGAUUCGUAAUCAGCAGGUCAAGGGUUCAACUCCCUUCGUCGGCUCCA